UACGAAGGGGGCUAGCGUUGCUCGGAAUCACUGGGCGUAAAGCGCACGUAGGCGGCUUUUUAAGUCAGGGGUGAAAUCCUGGAGCUCAACUCCAGAACUGCCUUUGAUACUGAGAAGCUUGAGUUCGGGAGAGGUGAGUGGAACUGCGAGUGUAGAGGUGAAAUUCGUAGAUAUUCGCAAGAACACCAGUGGCGAAGGCGGCUCACUGGCCCGAUACUGACGCUGAGGUGCGAAAGCCAGGGGAGCGAACGGG
Molecule: ribosomal RNA, 253 nt
Filed under: uncultured bacterium
Lineage: Bacteria
Description: partial 16S ribosomal RNA
Rfam family: Bacterial small subunit ribosomal RNA
Source: RNAcentral